This 432-nucleotide ribosomal RNA is filed under the name uncultured bacterium. Its description in RNAcentral is "partial 16S ribosomal RNA". It matches the Rfam family "Bacterial small subunit ribosomal RNA", at positions 29 to 506 of the family's 1533-position model. The record is from RNAcentral.
AACGAACGCUGGCGGCAUGCCUAACACAUGCAAGUCGAACGAGACCUUCGGGUCUAGUGGCGCACGGGUGCGUAACGCGUGGGAACCUGCCCUUAGGUUCGGAAUAACUCCCCGAAAGGGGUGCUAAUACCGGAUAAUGUCUUCGGACCAAAGAUUUAUCGCCUUUGGAUGGGCCCGCGUUGGAUUAGCUAGUUGGUAGGGUAAAAGCCUACCAAGGCGACGAUCCAUAGCUGGUCUGAGAGGAUGAUCAGCCACACUGGGACUGAGACACGGCCCAGACCCCUACGGGGGGGAGCAGGGGGGAAUGUGGAACAAUGGGCGAAAGCCUGAUCCCGCAAUGCCGGGUAAGGAUGGAAGGCCUUAGGGUUGAAAGUCUUUUUUACCCGGGAUGUAAAUAACGGUCCCGGGAAAAAAAGCCCCGCCUAACUCCGU